GGUUGUUGUGAAGAUCAAGUGGGAAGAAGAGUCAUGAGGGCUGCCUUGAGUUCCUCGAUGGAAAAACAGGCUAUCCAUAUAACAAAUAAAACAAUUUAAGUGCACUGUUGAGGACUGCAACAAAGCUUAUGGCAAAUAAUAGAGACAGACCGACUCCUUGUCAUCUUCGAAAAACCAGCAGAGAACCGAAGCAAGUUUACCGAAGUCAAAGGACAGCGACGCCCUGGUGUUCUUUAACUCAGAGCUUCUUUAACUCAGAGUUUUUGGACUGGAAGUUUCAUUAAAAUGCAAAGAACAUGCAACUGCUGUACCAAGUGCAUUUAUUGGAAGAACUCCGUUUUAAACAAACGGUGCCUCAGCUCCUGGAGAAUCGGUAGCCUGGGCGCAGCCACUUCUGUGCUUAUUUAGCCGGAAGUCAGCCUACUGACUUCCGCCGACUCUGGCCAUAAAAGCUUAGGAAAGUUGGCAUCUCUCUUAAAUUCGCUUGUUUGGUUUGAUUGGGAGAAAUAUUGCACCCAAAAAUAACCCGAACCGUUCCAGAGUUGUGUUUUUCCAAAGACUUUCCCAGCUCAUCACCUCCCAUCAGUUCUAACCAAACGAACAGCCGGAGCCACGCCAACCCAAACUGCCCCUCGCAGCUCGAAAAGGCCGGGGCUUUGUUUUGUUUAAAGUUGCUUUUCUGAAAGGGGAAAAAACCAAACAAACAAAAAUAAAAAAAAAAACACGGGGCUUGAAGUUUCCCACGUCAAAAGGGUGGAUUUGGAAGAGGUGCGGGGAGGAGUUGCCUUAUAAACAGAAAAUGAAGAUUUAUUUGCUGUCUGUUCCCAGUUCCCAGCCAAAACUUUUAUGCUCCCACGCAGUUUUGCUUUGUCUUGAUAGAGGAGGUGGAAGCGAAAAGGAGGGAGCAGGAGAUUCCCAGAAGGUUUUAAGAAAAAAAAAGAAAAAACCUGCGAAGUUGUUUGGAAGAAAUAAAGGGGUUUGGGACAGCUCAUUUUCAGUCUGUCCACUAGAAAUAAUGACGACUGCAUGCGUGGGAUUGGCUUCGAAAACUUUAACCCGAAAAGACAGACACCUGCUAGGACUUGCUGUAAAAACAGCUUGUAUUUAUCUUGUAUUUAUCCAAGCUAGCUGUCAUCCUCAGAUAUUUCUCACCUUUAGUGGGCAUAUGUAUAUGUCCCUUCAGUGUCACGCAUUCCGAGUUGUGUGUAGCCUUCAUCUAAAUGGCUGA
This 1228-nucleotide long non-coding RNA is filed under the name Pogona vitticeps (central bearded dragon). RNAcentral describes it as "lncRNA (ENSPVIG00000012167.1)". Lineage: Eukaryota; Metazoa; Chordata; Lepidosauria; Squamata; Agamidae. The record is from RNAcentral.